AUUGAACGCUGGCGGCAGGCCUAACACAUGCAAGUCGAGCGGAGUGGCGGACGGGUGAGUAAUGCCUAGGAAUCUGCCUGGUAGUGGGGGAUAAGGUCCGGCAAUGGGCGAUAAUACCGCAUACUAUCAGAUGAGCCUAGGUCGGAUUAGAUAGUUGGUGGGGUAAAGGCAUACAAAGGCUACGAUCCGUAACUGGUCGGAGAGGAUGAUCGGUCACACGGGAACUGGGAAACGGUCCAGAUUCCUACGGAAGGAAGCAGUGGGGAAGAUUGGACAAUGGGCGAAAGCCUGAUCCAGCCAUGCCGCGGGUGUGAAGAAGGUCUUCGGAUUGUAAAGCACUUUAAGUUGGGAGGCGUUACCAACAGAAUAAGCACCGGCUAACUUCGUGCCAGCAGCCGCGGUAAUUC
RNAcentral lists this ribosomal RNA (407 nucleotides) under uncultured bacterium. Its description in RNAcentral is "partial 16S ribosomal RNA". It matches the Rfam family "Bacterial small subunit ribosomal RNA", at positions 30 to 526 of the family's 1533-position model. The record is from RNAcentral.